GGAUGAACGCUGGCGGCGUGCCUAAUACAUGCAAGUCGAGCGAACGGACGAGAAGCUUGCUUCUCUGAUGUUAGCGGCGGACGGGUGAGUAACACGUGGAUAACCUACCUAUAAGACUGGGAUAACUUCGGGAAACCGGAGCUAAUACCGGAUGAUAUUUUGAACCGCAUGGUUCAAAAGUGAAAGACGGUCUUGCUGUCACUUAUAGAUGGAUCCGCGCUGCAUUAGCUAGUUGGUAAGGUAACGGCCUACCAAGGCAACGAUGCAUAGCCGACCUGAGAGGGUGAUCGGCCACACUGGAACUGAGACACGGUCCAGACUCCUACGGGAGGCAGCAGUAGGGAAUCUUCCGCAAUGGGCGAAAGCCUGACGGAGCAACGCCGCGUGAGUGAUGAAGGUCUUCGGAUCGUAAAACUCUGUUAUUAGGGAAGAACAUAUGUGUAAGUAACUGUGCACAUCUUGACGGUACCUAAUCAGAAAGCCACGGCUAACUACGUG
This 498-nucleotide ribosomal RNA is filed under the name uncultured bacterium. Its description in RNAcentral is "partial 16S ribosomal RNA". It matches the Rfam family "Bacterial small subunit ribosomal RNA", at positions 27 to 507 of the family's 1533-position model. The record is from RNAcentral.